CAACUCGAUAGUCUAAAUGAUUGUGUAGGAUGUGAGUUUUGGGGACUUGAGGUCUUUGGUUGAAGUCGGUUGA
This 73-nucleotide transfer RNA is filed under the name Lyperosomum longicauda. RNAcentral describes it as "tRNA-Pro". Lineage: Eukaryota; Metazoa; Platyhelminthes; Trematoda; Plagiorchiida; Dicrocoeliidae. The record is from RNAcentral.